GUGUCAGCAGCCGCGGUAAGACGAACCGUGCGAACGUUGUUCGGAAUCACUGGGCUUAAAGGGCGCGUAGGCGGCUGACCAAGUCUGGGGUGAAAUCCUGCAGCUUAACUGUAGAAGUGCCUGGGAUACUGGUCGGCUCGAGGGAGGUAGGGGUCUGUGGAACUGCUGGUGGAGCGGUGAAAUGCGUUGAUAUCAGCAGGAACGCCGGUGGCGAAAGCGACGGACUGGAUCUCUUCUGACGCUGAGGCGCGAAAGCUAGGGGAGCAAACGGGAUUAGAUACCCUAGUAGUCC
Molecule: ribosomal RNA, 292 nt
Filed under: uncultured bacterium
Lineage: Bacteria
Description: partial 16S ribosomal RNA
Rfam family: Bacterial small subunit ribosomal RNA
Source: RNAcentral